CGAACGGUAACAGGAAGCAGCUUGCUGCUUCGCUGACGAGUGGCGGACGGGUGAGUAAUGUCUGGGAAACUGCCUGAUGGAGGGGGAUAACUACUGGAAACGGUGGCUAAUACCGCAUAACGUCGCAAGACCAAAGAGGGGGACCUUCGGGCCUCUUGCCAUCAGAUGUGCCCAGAUGGGAUUAGCUUGUUGGUGAGGUAACGGCUCACCAAGGCGACGAUCCCUAGCUGGUCUGAGAGGAUGACCAGCCACACUGGAACUGAGACACGGUCCAGACUCCUACGGGAGGCAGCAGUGGGGAAUAUUGCACAAUGGGCGCAAGCCUGAUGCAGCCAUGCCGCGUGUAUGAAGAAGGCCUUCGGGUUGUAAAGUACUUUCAGCGGGGAGGAAGGUGUUGUGGUUAAUAACCACAGCAAUUGACGUUACCCGCAGAAGAAGCACCGGCUAACUCCGUGCCAGCAGCCGCGGUAAUACGGAGGGUGCAAGCGUUAAUCGGAAUUACUGGGCGUAAAGCGCACGCAGGCGGUCUGUCAAGUCGGAUGUGAAAUCCCCGGGCUCAACCUGGGAACUGCAUUCGAAACUGGCAGGCUUGAGUCUUGUAGAGGGGGGUAGAAUUCCAGGUGUAGCGGUGAAAUGCGUAGAGAUCUGGAGGAAUACCGGUGGCGAAGGCGGCCCCCUGGACAAAGACUGACGCUCAGGUGCGAAAGCGUGGGGAGCAAACAGGAUUAGAUACCCUGGUAGUCCACGCCGUAAACGAUGUCUACUUGGAGGUUGUGCCCUUGAGGCGUGGCUUCCGGAGCUAACGCGUUAAGUAGACCGCCUGGGGAGUACGGCCGCAAGGUUAAAACUCAAAUGAAUUGACGGGGGCCCGCACAAGCGGUGGAGCAUGUGGUUUAAUUCGAUGCAACGCGAAGAACCUUACCUGGUCUUGACAUCCACGGAAGUUUUCAGAGAUGAGAAUGUGCCUUCGGGAACCGUGAGACAGGUGCUGCAUGGCUGUCGUCAGCUCGUGUUGUGAAAUGUUGGGUUAAGUCCCGCAACGAGCGCAACCCUUAUCCUUUGUUGCCAGCGAUUAGGUCGGGAACUCAAAGGAGACUGCCAGUGAUAAACUGGAGGAAGGUGGGGAUGACGUCAAGUCAUCAUGGCCCUUACGACCAGGGCUACACACGUGCUACAAUGGCGCAUACAAAGAGAAGCGACCUCGCGAGAGCAAGCGGACCUCAUAAAGUGCGUCGUAGUCCGGAUUGGAGUCUGCAACUCGACUCCAUGAAGUCGGAAUCGCUAGUAAUCGUGGAUCAGAAUGCCACGGUGAAUACGUUCCCGGGCCUUGUACACACCGCCCGUCACACCAUGGGAGUGGGUUGCAAAAGAAGUAGGUAGCUUAACCUUCGGGAGGGCGCUUACCACUUUGUGAUUCAUGACUGGGGUGAAGUCGUAACAAGGUAACCGUAGGGGAACCUGCGGUUGGAUCACCUCCUUACCUUAAAGAA
RNAcentral lists this ribosomal RNA (1490 nucleotides) under Salmonella enterica subsp. enterica. RNAcentral describes it as "bacterial SSU rRNA". It matches the Rfam family "Bacterial small subunit ribosomal RNA". The record is from RNAcentral. Lineage: Bacteria; Pseudomonadati; Pseudomonadota; Gammaproteobacteria; Enterobacterales; Enterobacteriaceae. RNAcentral also lists the same sequence under 1 other name.